ACGUCUUUCGGCUUCAAACCACCAUAAACUCUGCAGCCGACAACUGCUAACUGUUCUGGAGGAUUUAGUUCUGGAGUUUCUGGUCAAGGUUCACCUGCAGCUGGAUUCGGGCAACUUGCAAACGUAGGAGCUGGCCAACAAGGUCUAGGCUCUUUUGGACAGUCUAGGCAGCUUGGGACUGGUCUACCUGGAGGCACUGCUGGCUUUGGCAACACUGGUGUUGAUUUUAGGGGUAGAUCUGCAGCGGCUGCUUCAGGAGGUGGUGGAGGUUUUGCUGCACCAGCCACAGGUGGUGGUGAAGGUUUGCCGCAGCCACAGGUGGAGGAUUUACUGCGGCUGCUGGUAGUGCUAAUGCUGGAGGCGGGUUUAUGUUGACAGGUUCAGGUGGUGGAUUUGGAGCUUUCAGCAAUCAGGCUGGUAGUGGUGGCUUUGGCAGCUGAGAUUCGGGAACGGGAAGACCUCCCUCGGAACUUUUCACAAAGAUGAGGAAAUAGUUUGUAUCAGUAAAUGUGAUAGAAUGGUGUAACAACUCUCAUUACACUAUCCCUUUUUUGCAGACUUCCUUGGAAAUAAGAUACUAUACAUUUUGUAAGCUC
Salvia hispanica is the source of this 596-nucleotide non-coding RNA. Lineage: Eukaryota; Viridiplantae; Streptophyta; Magnoliopsida; Lamiales; Lamiaceae. The record is from RefSeq and is a predicted model, not a curated record.